AUGGAAGAAAAAUAAUAUAUAACGAGCAGGAGAAGAUGAAAGGUGGUGGUGGUAGUGGUGGAAAAAAAUAAGAGGCAAAAUUUGCCGAGAAUCAAGGAGAAAAGUGUACAAACCUUGGUGGUUCUCGACGUGCCCACUCUUUUUCGCGGUUAAGCUUCGAAUGGACCCGUCUCUCUUUUGUUUUCACACAAGUUCCCAACUGAACGCGUGGCUGUACCUCUGAAAAUAUUAACCUAGGUCUUAAGAAAGCUAUGGUUCCUCCAGGUUUUCGCAGUUUCAAAAGUUAAGACGCAACGAAACAAUUCACAUGGCUCGGCUCGUUGCCUCGUGUUUUUUUCAAAUUGAUUGCACGGUCGAUGAGACUUUAAGAUAUGGAAAAUGAAUUGGAUGUUUAUUUAUACCAUUUGUUCAUUCUCUUUACUUUCUCUUACCAAUCUUACUUUUGUUAGGUUAAAACGAGAGGAGAAAAAUAAAAUAAAAUUAGGAGACGGAAAAGCGGAAGAGAUGACAUCCGACAUGUAAUUUAUACUCUUCACUCUCUGUGAUGAUCUUGCAAUCUUGAUGACAUCGAUAUGCGCAUAAUGAAUCCUCCGAAACUCUUUGAUCUAAAUUUUUGACAUAACUUGGAAAUUGGGGAACGAUUGGAUUAAUUCUGUUAAAAUAUUUCAUUCGAAAGGAAGAAAUUUUGUAUUAUAAAUAUACUUAUGUGCGAUAUACUUGCAAUAUUGUAAAAGAGAAUGCAUGUGUCAGGAAAUAGGAAAGUACGAACAAUUUCAUGAGCCUGUUAUCAGUGUCAGCACGUUAUUUUAGCAAAUGCUGUUUCACGUUAAGGCGGUCAUAAAUGGAAACGGUAGCCAAAAGCCGAAGAUUAAUUCGAAACUCGAAUUUGAUCGCCAAAUGUUGAUAAAGAAAAGCGGGGAGUGGUCUGUAAUUCCAGAAAAUAGCGACAAAUGGAUGCGUGCCAGGAAUCCGUGUAGCCUGACCCACUGGGUCAAAAUGGACACCGGCAAAAAUCCAAAUUUUCAAAAUGCGUCAAGUAUUGUUAACGUCUGUACACGGAUAACCGACGAGUUCUCUAUUCUAGGAUGAGUGGAACAAGAAUAGAGCAGCGGUGAAUGUCAUUGACGUUAAAGAUGGAAUUGUUCUCAAUUUACCUUGAAAAUCGAAUCGUUUGAAAUUUAUAGAAUCUCAUAUAUAAAAUAUAUGUCUUUAUAAAAAGCUUGAAAGAUAACUAAAAUUAAUUCUAACUGGUAUCAUUGAUUCAUGGACGAUGACAGGAAUUCGUGUUACGUUUGAAAAAUCAAUUAUUUUUAUAUUCUUAUUCAACGUUUUGCAUUGUAACAAAUAUUGUAAUAACAAAAUACAAAUUAUUAUAAUUA
Long non-coding RNA from Apis laboriosa (Himalayan honeybee), 1379 nucleotides. RefSeq lists it as uncharacterized. The record is from RefSeq and is a predicted model, not a curated record. The transcript has 3 exons. Lineage: Eukaryota; Metazoa; Arthropoda; Insecta; Hymenoptera; Apidae.